This 500-nucleotide ribosomal RNA is filed under the name uncultured bacterium. RNAcentral describes it as "partial 16S ribosomal RNA". It matches the Rfam family "Bacterial small subunit ribosomal RNA", at positions 30 to 523 of the family's 1533-position model. The record is from RNAcentral.
AUUGAACGCUGGCGGAAUGCUUUACACAUGCAAGUCGAACGGCAGCACGGACUUCGGUCUGGUGGCGAGUGGCGAACGGGUGAGUAAUGUAUCGGAACGUGCCCAGUCGUGGGGGAUAACGUAGUGAAAAUUACGCUAAUACCGCAUGCGAUCUAUGGAUGAAAGCGGGGGAUCGAAAGAACUCGAGCGAUUGGAGCGCGCGAUACCAGAUUAGGUAGUUGGUGGGGUAAAGGCCCACCAAGCCAACGAUCUGUCGCUGGUCUGAGAGGACGACCAGCCACACUGGAACUGAGACACGGUCCAGACUCCGACGGGAGGCAGCAGUGGGGAAUUUUGGACAAUGUGCGAAAGCUUGAUCCAGCCAUUCCGCGUGCAGGAUGAAGGCCCUCGGGUUGUAAACUGCUUUUGUACAGAACGAUAAGGUUUCUACUAAUACUAGGAGCUCAUGACGGUACUGUAAGAAUAAGCACCGGCUAACUACGUGCCAGCCGCCGCUGUAA